CAGUAGCCACGGUAAUACGAAGGGGGCUAGCGUUGCUCGGAAUUACUGGGCGUAAAGGGAGCGUAGGCGGACAUUUAAGUCAGGGGUGAAAUCCCAGAGCUCAACUCUGGAACUGCCUUUGAUACUGGGUGUCUUGAGUGUGAUAGAGGUAUGUGGAACUCCGAGUGUAGAGGUGAAAUUCGUAGAUAUUCGGAAGAACACCAGUGGCGAAGGCGACAUACUGGAUCAUUACUGACGCUGAGGCUCGAAAGCGUGGGGAGCAAACAGGAUUAGAUACCCGAGUAGUCCCUGUCUCUUAUAA
This 301-nucleotide ribosomal RNA is filed under the name uncultured bacterium. Its description in RNAcentral is "partial 16S ribosomal RNA". It matches the Rfam family "Bacterial small subunit ribosomal RNA", at positions 509 to 809 of the family's 1533-position model. The record is from RNAcentral.